GGAUUGACACAUCGGUCGUGCCUUAAGGGGUAUGAACUGGUGUAGUCAAUUUCUCACCUUCUGGAGAACCGCGAUGCCCUUAAUUGGGUGUCACGGGGAACCAGGACCUUUACUUUGAAAAAAUUAGAGUGUUUAAAGCAGGCAUUUUGCUUGAAUACAUUAGCAUGGAAUAAUGAAAUAGGACGUUCGAUCCUAUUUUGUUGGUUUCUAGGAUUGACGUA
Molecule: ribosomal RNA, 221 nt
Filed under: uncultured Entrophospora
Lineage: Eukaryota; Fungi; Glomeromycota; Glomeromycetes; Entrophosporales; Entrophosporaceae
Description: uncultured Claroideoglomus partial small subunit ribosomal RNA
Rfam family: Eukaryotic small subunit ribosomal RNA
Source: RNAcentral